CCUACGGGAGGCAGCAGUGGGGAAUAUUGCGCAAUGGGCGAAAGCCUGACGCAGCGACGCCGCGUGAGGGAUGAAGGUCUUCGGAUCGUAAACCUCUGUCAGCAGGGAAGAACGGUCACGGUGCUAAGCAGCAGUGAAUUGACGGUACCUGCAAAGGAAGCACCGGCGAACUCCGUGCCAGCAGCCGCGGUAAUACGGAGGGUGCGAGCGUUAAUCGGAUUUACUGGGCGGAAAGCGCUCGUAGGCUGUAUGGCAAGUCAAGGGUGAAAUCCCCGCGCUCAACGUGGGCACUGCCUUUGAAACUGGCAAACUGGAUUGUGUGAGAGGCUAGUGGCAUUC
Molecule: ribosomal RNA, 339 nt
Filed under: uncultured bacterium
Lineage: Bacteria
Description: partial 16S ribosomal RNA
Rfam family: Bacterial small subunit ribosomal RNA
Source: RNAcentral